GCGGGGAUAGCUCAGUUGGGAGAGCGUCAGACUGAAGUCUCACUUCUGUUAUAUAUCUGAAGGUCGUGUGUUCAAUCUACACUCACCGCA
This is a non-coding RNA of Cytospora paraplurivora, 90 nucleotides long. The record is from the annotation of a GenBank genome assembly. NCBI's taxonomy places the organism in Eukaryota, Fungi, Ascomycota, Sordariomycetes, Diaporthales, Cytosporaceae.